AACAGGGGAUUGCCCUAGUAACGGCGAGUGAAGCGGCAACAGCUCAAAUUUGAAAUCUGGCUCUUUUAGAGUCCGAGUUGUAAUUUGCAGAGGGCGCUUUGGCGUUGGCAGCGGUCCAAGUUCUUUGGAACAGGACGUCACAGAGGGUGAGAAUCCCGUACGUGGUCGCUAGCCUUCGCCGUGUAAAGCCCCUUCGACGAGUCGAGUUGUUUGGGAAUGCAGCUCUAAAUGGGAGGUAAAUUUCUUCUAAAGCUAAAUACUGGCCAGAGACCGAUAGCGCACAAGUAGAGUGAUCGAAAGAUGAAAAGCACUUUGGAAAGAGAGUCAAAUAGCACGUGAAAUUGUUGAAAGGGAAGCGCUUGCAGCCAGACUUGCCUGUAGUUGCUUAUCCGGACUUUUGUCCGGUGCACUCUUCUGCGGGCAGGCCAGCAUCAGUUUAGGCGGUUGGAUAAAGGUCUCUAUCACGUACCUCCCUUCGGGGUUGGCCUUAUAGGGGAGACGACAUGCAACCAGCCUGAACUGAGGUCCGCGCAUCUGCUAGGAUGCUGGCGUAAUGGCUGUAAGCGGCCCGUCUUGAAACACGGACCAAGGAGUCUAACAUCUAUGCGAGUGUUUGGGUGUCAAGCCCAGACGCGUAAUGAAAGUGAACGGAGGUGGGAACCUUUUAGGUGCACCAUCGACCGAUCCUGAUGUCUUCGGAUGGAUUUGAGUAAGAGCAUGGCUGUUGGGACCCGAAAGAUGGUGAACUAUGCUUGAAUAGGGUGAAGCCAGAGGAAACUCUGGUGGAGGCUCGCAGCGGUUCUGACGUGCAAAUCGAUCGUCAAAUUUGGGCAUAGGGGCGAAAGACUAAUCGAACUAUCUAGUAGCUGGUCU
RNAcentral lists this ribosomal RNA (873 nucleotides) under Phaeosphaeria herpotrichoides. RNAcentral describes it as "LSU rRNA". It matches the Rfam family "Eukaryotic large subunit ribosomal RNA", at positions 67 to 957 of the family's 3401-position model. Lineage: Eukaryota; Fungi; Ascomycota; Dothideomycetes; Pleosporales; Phaeosphaeriaceae. The record is from RNAcentral.